GAGUUUGAUCCUGGCUCAGGACGAACGCUGGCGGCGUGCCUAAUACAUGCAAGUCGAACGAACUCUGGUAUUGAUUGGUGCUUGCAUCAUGAUUUACAUUUGAGUGAGUGGCGAACUGGUGAGUAACACGUGGGAAACCUGCCCAGAAGCGGGGGAUAACACCUGGAAACAGAUGCUAAUACCGCAUAACAACUUGGACCGCAUGGUCCGAGCUUGAAAGAUGGCUUCGGCUAUCACUUUUGGAUGGUCCCGCGGCGUAUUAGCUAGAUGGUGGGGUAACGGCUCACCAUGGCAAUGAUACGUAGCCGACCUGAGAGGGUAAUCGGCCACAUUGGGACUGAGACACGGCCCAAACUCCUACGGGAGGCAGCAGUAGGGAAUCUUCCACAAUGGACGAAAGUCUGAUGGAGCAACGCCGCGUGAGUGAAGAAGGGUUUCGGCUCGUAAAACUCUGUUGUUAAAGAAGAACAUAUCUGAGAGUAACUGUUCAGGUAUUGACGGUAUUUAACCAGAAAGCCACGGCUAACUACGUGCCAGCAGCCGCGGUAAUACGUAGGUGGCAAGCGUUGUCCGGAUUUAUUGGGCGUAAAGCGAGCGCAGGCGGUUUUUUAAGUCUGAUGUGAAAGCCUUCGGCUCAACCGAAGAAGUGCAUCGGAAACUGGGAAACUUGAGUGCAGAAGAGGACAGUGGAACUCCAUGUGUAGCGGUGAAAUGCGUAGAUAUAUGGAAGAACACCAGUGGCGAAGGCGGCUGUCUGGUCUGUAACUGACGCUGAGGCUCGAAAGUAUGGGUAGCAAACAGGAUUAGAUACCCUGGUAGUCCAUACCGUAAACGAUGAAUGCUAAGUGUUGGAGGGUUUCCGCCCUUCAGUGCUGCAGCUAACGCAUUAAGCAUUCCGCCUGGGGAGUACGGCCGCAAGGCUGAAACUCAAAGGAAUUGACGGGGGCCCGCACAAGCGGUGGAGCAUGUGGUUUAAUUCGAAGCUACGCGAAGAACCUUACCAGGUCUUGACAUACUAUGCAAAUCUAAGAGAUUAGACGUUCCCUUCGGGGACAUGGAUACAGGUGGUGCAUGGUUGUCGUCAGCUCGUGUCGUGAGAUGUUGGGUUAAGUCCCGCAACGAGCGCAACCCUUAUUAUCAGUUGCCAGCAUUAAGUUGGGCACUCUGGUGAGACUGCCGGUGACAAACCGGAGGAAGGUGGGGAUGACGUCAAAUCAUCAUGCCCCUUAUGACCUGGGCUACACACGUGCUACAAUGGAUGGUACAACGAGUUGCGAACUCGCGAGAGUAAGCUAAUCUCUUAAAGCCAUUCUCAGUUCGGAUUGUAGGCUGCAACUCGCCUACAUGAAGUCGGAAUCGCUAGUAAUCGCGGAUCAGCAUGCCGCGGUGAAUACGUUCCCGGGCCUUGUACACACCGCCCGUCACACCAUGAGAGUUUGUAACACCCAAAGUCGGUGGGGUAACCUUUUAGGAACCAGCCGCCUAAGGUGGGACAGAUGAUUAGGGUG
RNAcentral lists this ribosomal RNA (1508 nucleotides) under Lactiplantibacillus argentoratensis. RNAcentral describes it as "partial 16S ribosomal RNA". It matches the Rfam family "Bacterial small subunit ribosomal RNA". Lineage: Bacteria; Bacillati; Bacillota; Bacilli; Lactobacillales; Lactobacillaceae. The record is from RNAcentral.